This 120-nucleotide ribosomal RNA is filed under the name uncultured bacterium. RNAcentral describes it as "partial 16S ribosomal RNA". It matches the Rfam family "Bacterial small subunit ribosomal RNA", at positions 796 to 916 of the family's 1533-position model. The record is from RNAcentral.
CACGCCGUAAACGAUGUGUGCUCGGUGUGUGUGGGUAAAACCAUGCGCGCCUCAGCCAACGCGAUAAGCACACCGCCUGGGGAGUACGGCCGCAAGGCUAAAACUCAAAGGAAUUGACGG